UUCAUCGGCCGGGGAUCGAACUUUGGCCGCCCGCAUGGCAGGCGAGCAUUCUACCACUGAACCACCGAUGC
RNAcentral lists this transfer RNA (71 nucleotides) under Cordylochernes scorpioides. RNAcentral's name for it is "tRNA-Gly". Lineage: Eukaryota; Metazoa; Arthropoda; Arachnida; Pseudoscorpiones; Chernetidae. The record is from RNAcentral.